UAUUUGAAACGCCGCCAAAGAACACCUACACGCCGCCUCAGAACACCUACCAGUUCUCUGCGCUUCGCCGGCGCAAUGAACUCGUAGGUGUUCUGUGAAGAACCCGGCCAUGGUAGUGUGACCCGGCGAGGCUCAUUCGAAUCCUCAAGGACUGCAGAAAUUAGGCGUCUCUUCGAAGCUUCAUCUAACCAUAGCCACUAUUCUUAAGCUGGCGCCUUAAUUGAACGUUCGUGAAGUACCAUUCAUCGUGCUUUGUCUUCGGGAGUCGUGCAGCUUCGUGUGGACAACGCAGUACACGAACCGGUGACUCGUAACGGUUUUGUCAACGUCGUCGUGACAGCUCGAUCGACAGACGUCGCAGGCUGCGAUGCGCUGCCUUGCAACAACAGACUCUCUAUGUAUAGUAUGAAGAGAAAGCGAUAUGCUCAGCAUUCACAAUGCUUGUUAUGCAAAGCCUCCAAGGGAUGUGGCCAAAGGACGACCUGCGGAAUCUGUGCACUCAAUCAACGCUGUCGUCAGAGCAAUGUUCACCUUUGCUGAAAAUCCAAGUGUGAGAAACUGAAGCAGCAGACAGCUCCAAGACAUGAUCUGUGCAAGUCAUGUUUAGAGGAGCUGCAAAUAAUAAAAAAAAAGUUUGACCCCAGUG
Molecule: long non-coding RNA, 646 nt
Organism: Rhipicephalus microplus (southern cattle tick)
Lineage: Eukaryota; Metazoa; Arthropoda; Arachnida; Ixodida; Ixodidae
Source: RefSeq, a predicted model, not a curated record